Molecule: long non-coding RNA, 2678 nt
Organism: Malaclemys terrapin pileata
Lineage: Eukaryota; Metazoa; Chordata; Testudines; Emydidae
Exons: 3
Source: RefSeq, a predicted model, not a curated record
CCCAGUGGAGGGAGAUGGAUUAGAUCCGUGGUCCUAACCUGGGGUACGCAUAACCCUGGGGGUACACAGAGGUCUUCCAGGUAGUACAUCUAGUCAUCUAGAUAUUUGCCUAGUUUUACAACAGGCUCCAUAAAAAGCACUAGUGAAGUCAGUACAAACUAAAAUUUCAUAUGGACAAUGACUUGUUUAUACUGCUCUAUAGACCAUACACUGAAAUGUAUGGAAUGAUAAGCUGAGGCUGCAGAACUUUUGAAUGCAGAAGGCCACCUUCCAGAAACUUUGUGCAGAGCUUUCCCCUGCCCUGCUGUUCAGCAACACAAAAUGAGAGCUGCUCUGACAGUGGAGAAGUGAGUGGCAAUCGCUAUUUGGAGGCUUGCAACGCCAGACAGUUACCAGUCAGUGGGGAAUCAAUUCGGACCCUGAAUAAUCACAUCAUCCUGCCGUCUUUCAACCUGCAAGUUCCUUGUACAAGUUCAGAACAGAGUUGACAGAGUUCAGAACCUGAAUGAACUCCUGAAACUGAGGGCUGGAAUAAUGUUGUCUUAUAAAUAUAUAAUGCCUUGACGUGGAGGAAGAGGCGAGAAAUAGAAACAUGAAAAGGAGCUUAUAUGGAACUGUGCUGUCUUCAGAUGGAUAUAACGUGUAAGCAAAAAUGAGAAAACUAUACAUUUUUAAUAGAAAACGUUGGCUACAAAAAGGCAACCCAGUCCUACAUACAGCAAAUUUUGACGUGUCCCAGGCUUAUAAGUUACACUACAAAACAAAAAAACCCUCCAGCCAAACAAGAAUUUAAGUGGGCCUUUCAUCUUUGAGGGGAAUCACUUUGUUACCUUUUGGUCUUUAAUGACCAUGGGAAUCCUUGGGCAGCUACUGCUACUGGGUUUAUUUUUCCUCCGGGGUGGACAGCAGACUUGCUAAUUUUUUCCACCAAAUCCCCACCGUCUGUGUGUGUGUUGUCUACAGUUGUCUACAAGAUAGAAAACUUCGGGCCUAUUCAAACAUAUAUAGUUCUCUGCACUGGAGCUGCUCCUUUAGCUCACCAUUUAGAGGCCUAUAUUUUUGGAGCUGAAAUCAUGAUGGGUGGCAUGGGUGUGGAUGAGAGUUGGCUCAUUACCAUGGUGUAUAUAGCAUGCAUUGUUGUAGAAUUGCAAGAUCAGUACAAUUUGUCUUAGACUUAAUUUGUCUAGAACAGUUUAAAUUUGACUUGUAAGUGAACCAGCACUCCAUGGCGGGGAAGAACUGUGGCAAGAAAUGCAGUAUGAUGCACGCAUGCUCGGUCCCAGUACAUAGCUGUUAGCAAUCUGGAACAAACCACUUAGACACAAGGAGGCUGGGAAUCUAUUAAAAAGAACAGUUAGGCCCCCUUGGAGUAUGGCAGGAAGGCAAUGUGAGAGGCACAAACACACUCCUCCUUUCUAUGUCCCUUUUCUUGGCUGGGAGAAGAGGAGGAGAUGUCUUUUUUUGGGCCUGUGUCUAGGAAUCCUAUAAAACCCAACUCAUGUAUAGUUUAUUCAGUGAUUUAGAGGGUUAGAAAAUGCAAAAAGCAAUUUUAAGAGGUGGUGGUUUCUUACUACUCUAGAAACUUGGAUUGAAUUAUUUGGAUGCAAAGCAAAAACUGGGGAAAAGCCAGAAAUUCACUGCUUUGACUUUGGGAUGUGAGAAUUUUCCCACAGCUAUAGGAUGUAGUAAUCUCCUUGCUGGAGCAUUUGAACUGAGCGUACACUCAAUGCUAGAUUCCUCAGGCUCUAAUGUGGGUUUAUGUUAAUAACUGCAUGUAAUAACCGGGAUGUAAGAGGGGGAGGGGUGGAUCAGCCACACUCAUUAAAUGUUCUGCUUCUAAGUGCUACUGCAGAAUGCACUAAACAUUUUAAUCUUUAGAGGCAAUAGGAGGCCAGAUGCUUGGACUGGAUGACAGGAUGGCUCACUUGAUAAUUGCCCUGUUCUAUUUAUUCCCUUUGAAGAAUCUAGCAUUGGCCACUGUUGGAAGACCGGACACUCAGCUAGAUGGACCAUUGGUCUGACCCAGUAUGGCUGUACUUAUGUUCUUAUGCUAUGUUCCUAUCUUAACCGUUCUGAGCAAUAAUAAAAAACUGAAAUAUGUAUGUGUAUACACACACACACAUACUAAAAAAGAGACAAAAGAAAGAGUGUGAAAAUUCUUGGUCUGUUAUACAGUUUUUGAGAAGAAAACUGGUAUAUUUCUGAACCACCCCAUUCCAGUUCACUACACCUCAUAAAAAUUUCUCCCACUUUGUAAGCCCUUUCAGGCAGGGCCUACAUUUUUCCAUACACAUGGACAGUGCCUAUUAGUGUGGGUGAUAGUGACAUAUAAAUGAUAAUAGAAACUCAAUUUUUCCACAAUAUCUACCAGCUAACCAUUGUCUCUGGGCUUCCUAAGAGCAUUAUGUCUUUUCUGUAUAGAGGAUUUGAGGCAGGGAGGGUCUUUGUUCUUGUGUCUUGUAAAAUGCCAAGCAAAUUGUUUGCUCUUAACAAACAGAGAUGGGGGAUUAUUUUGACAAAUUAUUUUUUCGUUGAAAAAUGCUGAUUGAUUGAAACUGAAACAGUUUGUGAAACACGGUGGGGCUUGAUGAAUUUCCCAACUCAAAAAAAUGUUGAGAAAAGAAUUUCAAAAUUGUUCAAAACAACUUUUUGUUUUGCUAUGUAAGCUAAUUAGAUGG